UGGGGAAUAUUGCACAAUGGGCGCAAGCCUGAUCCAGCCAUGCCGCGUGAGUGAUGAAGGCCUUAGGGUUGUAAAGCUCUUUCGCCGACGAAGAUAAUGACGGUAGUCGGAGAAGAAGCCCCGGCUAACUUCGUGCCAGCAGCCGCGGUAAUACGAAGGGGGCUAGCGUUGUUCGGAAUCACUGGGCGUAAAGCGCACGUAGGCGGAUUGUUAAGUCAGGGGUGAAAGCCUGGAGCUCAACUCCAGAACUGCCCUUGAUACUGGCAAUCUCGAGUCCGGAAGAGGUAAGUGGAACUGCGAGUGUAGAGGUGAAAUUCGUAGAUAUUCGCAAGAACACCAGUGGCGAAGGCGGCUUACUGGUCCGGUACUGACGCUGAGGUGCGAAAGCGUGGGGAGCAAAACAGGAUUAGAUACCCUGGUAGUCCACGCCGUAAACGAUGGAGGCUAGCCGUUGGCGAGCAUGCUCGUCAGUGGCGCAGCUAACGCAUUAAGCCUCCCGCCUGGGGGAGUACGGUCGCAAGAUUAAAACUCAAAGGAAUUGAC
This 543-nucleotide ribosomal RNA is filed under the name uncultured bacterium. RNAcentral describes it as "partial 16S ribosomal RNA". It matches the Rfam family "Bacterial small subunit ribosomal RNA", at positions 355 to 914 of the family's 1533-position model. The record is from RNAcentral.